This 397-nucleotide ribosomal RNA is filed under the name uncultured bacterium. Its description in RNAcentral is "partial 16S ribosomal RNA". It matches the Rfam family "Bacterial small subunit ribosomal RNA", at positions 523 to 918 of the family's 1533-position model. The record is from RNAcentral.
AUACGUAGGGGGCGAGCGUUGUCCGGAAUGAUUGGGCGUAAAGGGCGCGUAGGCGGCGCGGUAAGUCUGGAGUGAAAGUCCUGCUUUCAAGGUGGGAAUUGCUUUGGAUACUGCCGCGCUUGAGUGCAGGAGAGGUUAUCGGAAUUCCCGGGGUAGCGGUGAAAUGCGUAGAGAUCGGGAGGAACACCAGUGGCGAAGGCGGGUAACUGGACUGCAACUGACGCUGAGGCGCGAAAGUGUGGGGAGCAAACAGGAUUAGAUACCCUGGUAGUCCACACUGUAAACGAUGAAUGCUAGGUGUAAGAGGUAUCGACCCCUUUUGUGCCGGAGUCAACACAAUAAGCAUUCCGCCUGGGGAGUACGGCCGCAAGGUUGAAACUCAAAUGAAUUGGCGGGG